This is a long non-coding RNA of Hypanus sabinus (Atlantic stingray), 2371 nucleotides long. RefSeq lists it as uncharacterized. The record is from RefSeq and is a predicted model, not a curated record. Lineage: Eukaryota; Metazoa; Chordata; Chondrichthyes; Myliobatiformes; Dasyatidae. The transcript has 3 exons.
CCGUUGUUGUUGGCGGUUCUCCGAUUCGAGCAGGGUUCGACCAGUGGUGAGAGAUUUAUUUGAAGAAAAUCCCCAACUGGACGCAAACCACGACUGAAGACGAGGGAACAGCAACAAGUGAACCAGCCCGAGGACUGAGAGCACCGACUGGAGAGAACCCAUCUGACUCGCAGAUUCCAGUGAUUCAGUCAGGAGAAAGUUUGAUCUCAACUUUCUGCAGAUUCCUCCAAAGUGAAGGCUUUUUUUUUACAUAAGAUUAAAUUUCCUCAAAUUACUGUUGAAGAUCAACAGAUGCCUGAUGCACCAGUUAUUGAGCAUUUAAUUCAGAAAACUAUGUUGUUAAUGCAUUCAGGUCAAGCUCCUGGACUUGACGUGUAUUUGGUAGGAUUUUACAUAAAAAUUGAAAGGUUACUUUCUCAUUACCUGUUGGAAAUAUUUCAUGAAUCCUUUGAGAAGGGUAGUUUACCUUCUUUUGAUGAAGCUUCUAUUUCUUUAAUCCUUAAGAAAGAUAAAAAUCCUACUGAAUGUUCAUCAUAUAGACCUAUUUCAUUAUUAAAUGUGGAUUUGAAAACUCUCUCUAAGAUUAUGGCUAACCACUUGGUAAAUAUUUCAACUAAAAUUAUCUCGAUGGAGCCAACAGGCUUUAUUAAAGGUCGUUACUGUUUCUCCAGUGUUCGGAGAUUGAUGAACAUUAUAUAUUCAUCACUAUCUAACCCAAUGUGUUAUCUCUUUCGAUGCAGAAUAGGCAUUUGAUAGAGUUGAGUGGUCAUAUUUGUUUAAAAUUUUAGGAAAUAAUUGGUUUUGGUAAUAAUUUCAAUAGGUGGAUUCAAAUGAUUUAUGAGAAUCCUAUUGCCACAGUUAUUACUAAUAAUUUCAGGUCCUUUUUUUCCCCACUUUCAGUGGCACAAGGCAGGGUUUUCCAUUAAGCCCUUCAUUAUUUAAUAUUGUACUGGAGCCUUUGGCCAUAAAACUCUGUGAAGCUAAAAAUAUUCAUGGUAUUUCUAUGAAUUGAACCAUACAUAAGAUUUAUCUUUACACAGAUGAUCUUUUGGUAAAAGAUUUUGGUAAAUUUUCAGGAUAUAAUCUUAACUUCAAUAAAAAGGGAAUUGUUUCCAUGAAAUGCCGCUGUGUUUAAAUAUAAUGAUAUUCCAUUUAGAAUUGUUCAUUCUUUUAAAUCUUUAGGUAUUAUAAUUACUAAAUAUAUAUCUUUAUAAAGAUAAUGUAGUUCCUUUAAUGGACUCCAUGAAACAACUAUUUUCUGGAUGGAAUCCACUUACUCUUGCUUUAAUAGGUCAUAUCCAUGCCGUGAAAAUGAUGAUUUUACUUAGAUUUUUAUAUAUUUUUCAAAAUAUUCCUAUCUUUUUAAAUAAAAAUAAUGAUCAAACUGACUCACUUAUUUUGUACUUCAUUUAGAACAAUAAUUUAGAACAAUGGUUUUUUAUAUUGAAAUUUUUUAUUUAAACCUUCAAUAACUCAUCCGAUUUUUCUCCUGUGGAGAAAUAAGGGGAUCCGGUCUUGUGCAGAUUUACUUUGUGAUGACCGAUUGAUGACUUUUGAAGAGUUAAUUAGCAAAUAUUCUCUCUCAUACACACUUACUGCAAUAUUUUCAGGUUUGACAUUUUUUUACAACAAUAUUUAUCUAAGUUUCUAUAUAUGGCAGAAUAUGAUUUGUUGGAUACAAUUUUGAAUUUGAAUCCAUUAGUAAGAGGUUCCAUUGGUAGAAUUUAUAAUUUAUGUUUACUAUAAAAAGAUAUCCUCUCACUAAAGAUUAAACAAGAUUGUGAGAGAGAACUUAAUAUGACCUUUGUUAAUGAAGAUUGGUUGCGAGUUCUGAAAAUAGUAAAUUCUUCUUUGAUAUGUGCCAAUCACGGUUUAAUUAAGUUUAAAAUUGUUCACUGUUAUUAUUUAACAAAGGUGAGAUAUUCAAGAUAUUUCCUGACAUAGACAAUUACUGUGAUAGGUGUUAAACUAAAAUAGCCACUUUGUCACAUAUAUUCUGGUCAUGUUCUUCAUUAAAAUCUUUUUGGAAAUCUUUGUUUUCUACAAUUUCUAAAGCUCUGAAAAUUAAUUUACAACCUAUUACAUUGACUGUACUAAUUGGAAUAGUUCCACAUCAUAUUCAGGGUAUUGCAUCUUCACAUCAACAUGUAAUUGCAUUUGUUACAUAGUUUGCAAGAAGGGCUAUGUUAUUAAAGUGGAAAGAUACCUCUGUCCCUACAUUAAUUCAAUGGUUUUCUCAAGUAAUGUUAUAUCUCGGUUUUGGAAAAAAAAAUGGAAGUAGAACUUUUGAUCCUUGAUUGGACUUUGAGAGAAGAUGGGGCUGUUUUGCCAAAUUAUUUAAUUUGUAUUAUUUUAUAUGGUUUCCUUCCAA